RNAcentral lists this ribosomal RNA (450 nucleotides) under uncultured bacterium. RNAcentral describes it as "partial 16S ribosomal RNA". It matches the Rfam family "Bacterial small subunit ribosomal RNA", at positions 354 to 796 of the family's 1533-position model. The record is from RNAcentral.
GUGGGGAAUAUUGGACAAUGGGCGAAAGCCUGAUCCAGCCAUGCCGCGUGUGUGAAGAAGGUCUUCGGAUUGUAAAGCACUUUAAGUUGGGAGGAAGGGCAGUAAGUUAAUACCUUGCUGUUUUGACGUUACCGACAGAAUAAGCACCGGCUAACUUCGUGCCAGCAGCCGCGGUAAUACGAAGGGUGCAAGCGUUAAUCGGAAUUACUGGGCGUAAAGCGCGCGUAGGUGGUUUUGUAAGUUGGAGGUGAAAUCCCCGGGCUCAACCUGGGAACUUCCUCCAAAACUGCAUGACUAGAGUACGGUAGAGGGUAGUGGAAUUUCCUGUGUAGCGGUGAAAUGCGUAGAUAUAGGAAGGAACACCAGUGGCGAAGGCGACUACCUGGACUGAUACUGACACUGAGGUGCGAAAGCGUGGGGAGCAAACAGGAUUAGAAACCCCGGUAGUCC